This 253-nucleotide ribosomal RNA is filed under the name uncultured bacterium. Its description in RNAcentral is "partial 16S ribosomal RNA". It matches the Rfam family "Bacterial small subunit ribosomal RNA", at positions 524 to 776 of the family's 1533-position model. The record is from RNAcentral.
UACGUAGGGUCCGAGCGUUGUCCGGAAUUACUGGGCGUAAAGAGCUCGUAGGUGGUUUGUCGCGUUGUUCGUGAAAACUCACAGCUCAACUGUGGGCGUGCGGGCGAUACGGGCAGACUUGAGUACUGCAGGGGAGACUGGAAUUCCUGGUGUAGCGGUGGAAUGCGCAGAUAUCAGGAGGAACACCGGUGGCGAAGGCGGGUCUCUGGGCCACUACUGACGCUGAGAAGCGAAAGCAUGGGGAGCGAACAGG